UCCAUUAUUUUUAUGUCCCCUCCCCAAAAGACAAUUUGUAAUUUAUAUGUACAUAUAUUCUGUGAGUGUUACAAGCUUUCAUCAUUUGCGGGGAGGGGGAUGGCUUAGUCCCAAAAAUUGUCAACAUCGCCAUAUAAUUACGUAUAUAAACAGGGAAGCUAAAAAAGGGACUAACGACGCCACUUGUACAUAAAAUAAAUUUGAAUAUGAAGGAUGAAGAGGAAAGUUAUUCUUGAAUUAUUGUUGAUUUUUAUCAGAUAAAAAUACACUUAAAUUAUCAUCAA
RNAcentral lists this long non-coding RNA (284 nucleotides) under Lepeophtheirus salmonis (salmon louse). RNAcentral describes it as "uncharacterized LOC121119730". Lineage: Eukaryota; Metazoa; Arthropoda; Copepoda; Siphonostomatoida; Caligidae. The record is from RNAcentral.